Molecule: ribosomal RNA, 53 nt
Filed under: salal root associated fungus UBCtra1128C
Lineage: Eukaryota; Fungi; Ascomycota
Description: partial 28S ribosomal RNA
Source: RNAcentral
AUGGUUUGACCUCGGAUCAGGUAGGGAUACCCGCUGAACUUAAGCAUAUCAAU